Molecule: ribosomal RNA, 253 nt
Filed under: uncultured bacterium
Lineage: Bacteria
Description: partial 16S ribosomal RNA
Rfam family: Bacterial small subunit ribosomal RNA
Source: RNAcentral
UACGAAGGGUGCAAGCGUUACUCGGAAUUACUGGGCGUAAAGCGUGCGUAGGCGGUUCGUUAAGUCCGUUGUGAAAGCCCUGGGCUCAACCUGGGAAUGGCAGUGGAUACUGGCGAGCUAGAGUGUGAUAGAGGAUGGUGGAAUUCCCGGUGUAGCGGUGAAAUGCGUAGAGAUCGGGAGGAACACCAGUGGCGAAGGCGGCCAUCUGGAUCAACACUGACGCUGAGGUGCGAAAGCGUGGGGAGCAAACAGG